This 1200-nucleotide long non-coding RNA is filed under the name Canis lupus familiaris (dog). RNAcentral describes it as "lncRNA (ENSCAFG00845023681.1)". The record is from RNAcentral. Lineage: Eukaryota; Metazoa; Chordata; Mammalia; Carnivora; Canidae.
AUGCUCCUGGGCAGCCCCGCCUGCGGGCGGCAAGCACGGCUCUGGCUCCCUGUCUGCACCCCGGACCCCACGGCCUCCCGGACGCCGUCCCGCGGGGCAGCGCAGUUCUCUGGGGCUGCGGCCCGGGUCCGCUCAGGAGGGGCGAGGGGUGCAGGCCGCUGCCAGGUCGAGGCCGAGCCUCGGGGCCGCUUCGCCCUCGGCCUGGAGGCAGCAGAGCCCCCGCGGCUAGGAUUUCCGCAGGUGGGCCUGGGGGGAAACGGGCCUCUGCGCUCGCAGCCCAGGGGUCCGGGAGGGCAGCACCCAGAGCCCGGGGCAGGCAGCAGAUGCCCGGUGCGACCACCUGGCCGCCGCCUCCCGGGAGGCUCGUGGGGAAGCGGUCCCGUCCCGGCUGGGUGCUGGGGGGUCCAUCCUGGCGCUGUCCCGUCUGCUCCCUGCGGACGCUCUUCUGGGGGCCUCCCCAGCGCCUGUCGCGCCCCAGGAGCCUCGCGGGUCCGCCGGCCGCCCUUCACUGUUGCUAAAAUGAAGGGGCCCCGCGGCGGGAAUGUGGUUUCCUCAGCACCCACAGGGACGGUGCCUCCACGUUGUCCCCUCCCCAUGGCUGAGGGCUGGUCCGUGCCACAGCCCGGGGCCCGUCUGAGCAGGGGGUGGCGCCCCAGGUGCGGGGACGGGCGGCGGAGAGCCAUGAAUUUCCUACAGCCGGUGCGUCAGGAAGGGGGUGGGGAGCGCCCCUCAUACUGUGCGCGCCCGGCUCGUUCAGCCGCUGCAGUGUGGCCCCGGGGUAGGGUGGGUGUGGCCCCCAGACUACGGCCCCGCGCUCUCGGGGAGCCAGGCGACCCCGUCACCUGGCUGCAUGGACCGACAUUCUCGUCCUGUGGCCGGGGGGGGGGCGCUCAUCAGAGACAGGGGGGCCUACAGAGGCCCCCAGAGACCCCCACGGAGACCCCGCACAGCCAAGGGCCGGGCCUCCUCUCACGGUGCUUAAAGCCAGGCCCCGAGAUCAGGAGUGAUGUGCUGUACCGGCAAAGCCAGCCGGGCGCCCCCGACCCUGGUCACAUCAGCAUUUGGGGACAAGUGCCCACAGGAGUCCCCGUCAUGUGCAGCCGUGGGCCCUGGAACCACUUCCAGCAGGAAGCUGGCAGGAAAGAGCCGGCCUUCAAUCGUCCGCGGUCUGCGCCCUGCUGUCCCCGGACACGCCACUAG